UUUCAUAACUUUAUUGAUUUUUUUUGUACAGUGUAAAGGAUGGAUGUACCAUAGUCAAAUAGUUAAAGGGGAAAUCCGCAGUUAAACCAAUAACAAAGUGUAAACCCCACUAUCUUCCUGAGGCUAUACAGGAUGACCAUCUAUGAUAUCAACAUUAUAGUUUAAACUAUGUUUCUGAGACUAUACAGGAUGACCAUCCAUCAUAUCAACAUUAUAGUUUAAACUAUGUUCCUGAGACUAUACAGGAUGACCAUCCAUCAUAUCAACAUUAUAGUUUAAACUAUGUUCCUGAGACUAUACAGGAUGACCAUCCAUCAUAUCAACAUUAUAGUUUAAACUAUGUUUCUGAGACUAUACAGGAUGACCAUCCAUGAUAUCAACAUUAUAGUUUAAACUAUGUUUCUGAGACUAUACAGGAUGACCAUCUAUGAUAUCAACAUUGUAUUGAAAACUAUGUUUUAUGUUGUUUACAAACAAUGGAAUAAAACUAGUUCAUAUGUUGGGUUUUGAUGGAAAAGGACAGUUGAAUUAAGCUCAUGAGGCAUUUGUAAGUCAUAUUCUUCAAGAA
Molecule: long non-coding RNA, 568 nt
Organism: Oncorhynchus keta (chum salmon)
Lineage: Eukaryota; Metazoa; Chordata; Actinopteri; Salmoniformes; Salmonidae
Exons: 2
Source: RefSeq, a predicted model, not a curated record